UACGUAGGCAGCAAGCGUUGUUCGGAGUUACUGGGCGUAAAGAGUGCGUAGGUGGUGCCCUAAGUCUGUUGUGAAAUCUCCCGGCUUAACUGGGAGGGUGCGGUGGAAACUGGGGUGCUUGAGUGUGGGAGAGGUAAGCGGAAUUCCUGGUGUAGCGGUGAAAUGCGUAGAUAUCAGGAGGAACACCGAUGGCGAAGGCAGGUCUCUGGGCAUUAACUGACGCUGAGGAGCGAAAGCAUGGGGAGCGAACAGG
This 253-nucleotide ribosomal RNA is filed under the name uncultured bacterium. RNAcentral's name for it is "partial 16S ribosomal RNA". It matches the Rfam family "Bacterial small subunit ribosomal RNA", at positions 524 to 776 of the family's 1533-position model. The record is from RNAcentral.